UUUCCGUAGGUGAACCUGCGGAAGGAUCAUUAUUGUAUAACCGAGGUGCGAGGGCUGUUGCUGACCCGAAAGGUCGUGCACGCCCGAGUGCCCUCACACACAUCCAUCUCACCCCUAUGUGCACCACCGCGUGGGUCCCCCUUUGGCUUGUUCGGAGGGGGGCUUACGUUUUCACACAAACUUUGUAUGCAGUGUAGAAUGUAUUUUUUGUUUUUGCGAUCACGCAAUCAAUACAACUUUCAACAACGGAUCUCUUGGCUCUCGCAUCAAUGAAGAACGCAGC
RNAcentral lists this unclassified non-coding RNA (283 nucleotides) under plant metagenome. RNAcentral describes it as "partial contains small subunit ribosomal RNA, internal transcribed spacer 1, and 5.8S ribosomal RNA". The stretch from base 235 to 283 matches the Rfam family "5.8S ribosomal RNA", at positions 1 to 49 of the family's 154-position model. The record is from RNAcentral.